RNAcentral lists this ribosomal RNA (497 nucleotides) under uncultured bacterium. RNAcentral's name for it is "bacterial SSU rRNA". It matches the Rfam family "Bacterial small subunit ribosomal RNA", at positions 368 to 881 of the family's 1533-position model. The record is from RNAcentral.
ACAAUGGGCGCAAGCCUGAUCCAGCAAUGCCGCGUGAGUGAUGAAGGCCUUAGGGUUGUAAAGCUCUUUCGGCGGGGACGAUGAUGACGGUACCCGCAGAAGAAGCCCCGGCUAACUUCGUGCCAGCAGCCGCGGUAAUACGAAGGGGGCGAGCGUUGUUCGGAUUUACUGGGCGUAAAGGGCGCGUAGGCGGCUCUUCAAGUCAGGCGUGAAAGCCCCGGGCUCAACCUGGGAACAGCGCUUGGGACUGGAGGGCUCGAGUUCGGGAGAGGAGAGUGGAAUUCCCAGUGUAGAGGUGAAAUUCGUAGAUAUUGGGAAGAACACCGGUGGCGAAGGCGGCUCUCUGGACCGAGACUGACGCUGAGGCGCGAAAGCGUGGGGAGCAAACAGGAUUAGAUACCCUGGUAGUCCACGCUGUAAACGAUGUGUGCUAGACGUUGGGGAGCGCAGCUCCUCGGUGUCGCAGCAAACGCUUUAAGCACACCGCCUGGGGGAGU